This 253-nucleotide ribosomal RNA is filed under the name uncultured bacterium. Its description in RNAcentral is "partial 16S ribosomal RNA". It matches the Rfam family "Bacterial small subunit ribosomal RNA", at positions 524 to 776 of the family's 1533-position model. The record is from RNAcentral.
UACGGGGGGGGCUAGCGUUGUUCGGAAUUAUUGGGCGUAAAGGGCGCGUAGGCGGUGUGGUAAGUCUGUUGUGAAACCUCCAGGCUCAACUUGGAGCUUGCAUCAGAAACUGCCGUGCUAGAGUGUGGGAGAGGAGAGUGGAAUUCCUGGUGUAGCGGUGAAAUGCGUAGAUAUCAGGAGGAACACCGGUGGCGAAAGCGGCUCUCUGGACCACAACUGACGCUGAGGCGCGAAAGCUAGGGGAGCAAACAGG